GAUGAAGAACGUAGCGAAAUGCGAUAAGUAAUGCGAAUUGCAGAAUUCAGUGAAUCAUCGAAUCUUUGAACGCACAUUGCGCCCCCUGGUAUUCCGGGGGGCAUGCCUGUCCGAGCGUCAUUACAACCCUCAAGCUCAGCUUGGUGUUGGGCCCCGCCGCCCCGGCGGGCCCUAAAGUCAGUGGCGGUGCCGUCCGGCUCCGAGCGUAGUAAUUCUUCUCGCUCUGGAGGUCCGGUCGUGUGCUCGCCAGCAACCCCCAAUUUUUUUCAGGUUGACCUCGGAUCAGGUAGGGAUACCCGCUGAACUUAAGCAUAUCAAAAGCGGAGGA
RNAcentral lists this unclassified non-coding RNA (328 nucleotides) under soil metagenome. RNAcentral's name for it is "partial contains 5.8S ribosomal RNA, internal transcribed spacer 2, and large subunit ribosomal RNA". The stretch from base 1 to 120 matches the Rfam family "5.8S ribosomal RNA", at positions 35 to 154 of the family's 154-position model. The record is from RNAcentral.